Molecule: ribosomal RNA, 504 nt
Filed under: uncultured bacterium
Lineage: Bacteria
Description: bacterial SSU rRNA
Rfam family: Bacterial small subunit ribosomal RNA
Source: RNAcentral
CGGCCUUCGGGUUGUAAACCUCUUUUAGUAGGGAAGAAGCGUAACAGUGACGGUACCUGCAGAAAAAGCACCGGCUAACUACGUGCCAGCAGCCGCGGUAAUACGUAGGGUGCAAGCGUUGUCCGGAAUUAUUGGGCGUAAAGAGCUCGUAGGCGGUUUGUCGCGUCUGCUGUGAAAACCCGAGGCUCAACCUCGGGCCUGCAGUGGGUACGGGCAGACUAGAGUGCGGUAGGGGAGAUUGGAAUUCCUGGUGUAGCGGUGGAAUGCGCAGAUAUCAGGAGGAACACCAAUGGCGAAGGCAGAUCUCUGGGCCGUAACUGACGCUGAGGAGCGAAAGCAUGGGGAGCGAACAGGAUUAGAUACCCUGGUAGUCCAUGCCGUAAACGUUGGGAACUAGAUGUGGGGACCAUUCCACGGUCUCCGUGUCGCAGCUAACGCAUUAAGUUCCCCGCCUGGGGAGUACGGCCGCAAGGCUAAAACUCAAAGGAAUUGACGGAAUCACUA